UUCUGGCUCAGGAUGAACGCUAGCUACAGGCUUAACACAUGCAAGUCGAGGGGCAGCAGAUCGAAAGCUUGCUUUGAUGCUGGCGACCGGCGCACGGGUGAGUAACGCGUAUCCAACCUUCCCUAUAGUAGAGAAUAGCCCGGCGAAAGUCGGAUUAAUGCUCUAUGUUGUAUUUAGAGGACAUCUGAAGAAUACCAAAGGUUUACCGCUAUAGGAUGGGGAUGCGUCUGAUUAGGUUGUUGGCGGGGUAACGGCCCACCAAGCCCACGAUCAGUAGGGGUUCUGAGAGGAAGGUCCCCCACAUUGGAACUGAGACACGGUCCAAACUCCUACGGGAGGCAGCAGUGAGGAAUAUUGGUCAAUGGACGCAAGUCUGAACCAGCCAAGUAGCGUGCAAGGAUGACGGCCCUAUGGGUUGUAAACUGCUUUUAUGCGGGAAUAAAGUCAGGUACGUGUACCUGUUUGUAUGUACCGCAUGAAUAAGGACCGGCUAAUUCCGUGCCAGCCGCUGC
This 512-nucleotide ribosomal RNA is filed under the name uncultured bacterium. RNAcentral describes it as "bacterial SSU rRNA". It matches the Rfam family "Bacterial small subunit ribosomal RNA", at positions 17 to 518 of the family's 1533-position model. The record is from RNAcentral.